Long non-coding RNA from Ananas comosus (pineapple), 651 nucleotides. RefSeq lists it as uncharacterized. The record is from RefSeq and is a predicted model, not a curated record. The transcript has 3 exons. Lineage: Eukaryota; Viridiplantae; Streptophyta; Magnoliopsida; Poales; Bromeliaceae.
CACCAGGGUAGGUGAGAGGGUGUUUUGGUCUUUUCUCUCCCUCGUUUGUAUCACCACCCCACCUACUUCUAUAUACAGGCGUAGAGCUCUUGAGAGGGAGUGUUCUUGCUGCUCCUUCUUCCUCUCUCUCUCUAGCUUGGUUUGACCGGGGAGAGCUCGGUUGGAGAAUCCGUCGCCGACGUCGCGCCGCGGAACCGUUCGAGCACGUGUUUGACACCGUGGUAGCACGAGGAGGCCGGGCGAGCGGAGGUUUUCGCCGUUUUGCUGUCGCAGCGGUGCUCGGUGUUGUCGAGGUGAGUAUUCAGCAUUUCUUUGGAUUUUUGGGCAAAUUCUUACUACUUCAACUCGAAGAGACGUUGUUUGCUGAAUUUCACCGUCGACUGUUUGUAUUUUGGCUCGUUCUCGACGUAGGAGCAUCGGAUUGCGACGAGACUUGGCUCGUUGGAUUCGGGACUUCGAGAGGAAUCCACGAAGCCCUUACUUGUGAUUUUUGGUGAAGCUUGGAGUUAGCUCGAUUGCGAGAAUCGGACGUUUUCAGUCGACCCAGCAGGUGGUGUCGCAGCUGAGGGGAGUGUUCCGCUGCCUGGGAUUAGCGUGCGAGAGCCACAGGUUCCGGCUGCUGCACCGUCUGCGGACCAGGAUCGAGGCAAG